CCAACUUCUCUGGAGAUGGUUGUAGGACUUGUAAACAUUCUCAACUCACAGCUCGUACUGUCAUUCUCCUGGUUUUCUCCAGGCCCAUAUCCUGGUGGACCGUCUUCUCUUGAGGUGGUCACAGGACUCGUAAAUACUCCCGACUCGUAGCUUGUAUUCCAUGAAGUGAUACUGCGCUGGUUUUCUCCAGGCCCAUAUCCUGGUGGACCAAGUUCUCUUGAGAUAGUUGUAGGACUCAUAAACAAUAUUUGCUCACUGCUUGUAUACCAGGAAAUGCCACUGCCUCGGUUUUCUUCAGGCUCAUAUCCUGGAGGACCGACUUCUCUUGAGCUGGUCGCAGGACUCAUAAACAGUCUUCGCUCACAGCUUGUAUUCCAUGGAGCCCCAUUGCCCUGGUUUUCUCCAAGUGCAUAUCCUGGUGGACUAACUUCUCCUGCGAUAGUGGUAGGAGCCAUUAUCACACUCUGCUCACAGC
Molecule: long non-coding RNA, 475 nt
Filed under: Sorghum bicolor (sorghum)
Lineage: Eukaryota; Viridiplantae; Streptophyta; Magnoliopsida; Poales; Poaceae
Description: long non-coding RNA (SBIC_LNC005681)
Source: RNAcentral